This 468-nucleotide ribosomal RNA is filed under the name uncultured bacterium. RNAcentral's name for it is "partial 16S ribosomal RNA". It matches the Rfam family "Bacterial small subunit ribosomal RNA", at positions 28 to 507 of the family's 1533-position model. The record is from RNAcentral.
GACGAACGCUGGUGGCGUGCUUAACACAUGCAAGUCGAACGGAAAGGCCCUGCUUUUGUGGGGUGCUCGAGUGGCGAACGGGUGAGUAACACGUGAGUAACCUGCCCUUGACUUUGGGAUAACUUCAGGAAACUGGGGCUAAUACCGGAUAGGAGCUCCUGCUGCAUGGUGGGGGUUGGAAAGUUUCGGCGGUUGGGGAUGGACUCGCGGCUUAUCAGCUUGUUGGGGGGGUAGUGGCUUACCAAGGCUUUGACGGGUAGCCGGCCUGAGAGGGUGACCGGCCACAUUGGGACUGAGAUACGGCCCAGACUCCUACGGGAGGCAGCAGUGGGGAAUAUUGCACAAUGGGCGGAAGCCUGAUGCAGCAACGCCGCGUGCGGGAUGACGGCCUUCGGGUUGUAACCCGCUUUCGCCUGUGACGAAGCGUGAGUGACGGUAAUGGGUAAAGAAGCACCGGCUAACUACGUG